CCACGGGGGGCACCAGUGAGGAAUAUUGCACAAUGGGGGGAACCCUGAUGCAGCAACGCCGCGUGGAGGAUGACGCAUUUCGGUGUGUAAACUCCUUUUAUAUGUCAAGAAAAUGACGGUAGCAUAUGAAUAAGCACCGGCUAACUCCGUGCCAGCAGCCGCGGUAAUACGGAGGGUGCAAGCGUUACUCGGAAUCACUGGGCGUAAAGGACGCGUAGGCGGGUUGGAAAGUCAGGUGUGAAAUCCUACAGCUUAACUGUAGAACUGCACUUGAAACUUCUAAUCUAGAGUAUGGGAGGGGGAGAUGGAAUUAGUGGUGUAGGGGUAAAAUCCGUAGAUAUCACUAGGAAUACCUAAAGCGAAGGCGAUCUCCUGGAACAUUACUGACGCUAAGGCGUGAAAGCGUGGGGAGCAAACAGGAUUAGAUACCCUCGUAGUC
This 439-nucleotide ribosomal RNA is filed under the name uncultured bacterium. RNAcentral describes it as "partial 16S ribosomal RNA". It matches the Rfam family "Bacterial small subunit ribosomal RNA", at positions 339 to 795 of the family's 1533-position model. The record is from RNAcentral.